UACGUAGGGUGCGAGCGUUAAUCGGAAUUACUGGGCGUAAAGCGUGCGCAGGCGGUUUUGUAAGUCAGAUGUGAAAUCCCCGGGCUUAACCUGGGAACUGCGUUUGAAACUACAAGGCUAGAGUGUAGCAGAGGGGGGUGGAAUUCCACGUGUAGCAGUGAAAUGCGUAGAGAUGUGGAGGAACACCGAUGGCGAAGGCAGCCCCCUGGGUUAACACUGACGCUCAGGCACGAAAGCGUGGGGAGCAAACAGGAUUAGAAACCCCGUAGUCC
RNAcentral lists this ribosomal RNA (272 nucleotides) under uncultured bacterium. RNAcentral's name for it is "partial 16S ribosomal RNA". It matches the Rfam family "Bacterial small subunit ribosomal RNA", at positions 524 to 796 of the family's 1533-position model. The record is from RNAcentral.